Long non-coding RNA from Beta vulgaris subsp. vulgaris (sugar beet), 1206 nucleotides. RefSeq lists it as uncharacterized. Lineage: Eukaryota; Viridiplantae; Streptophyta; Magnoliopsida; Caryophyllales; Amaranthaceae. The transcript is spliced from 3 exons. The record is from RefSeq and is a predicted model, not a curated record.
AUUUCUUUAUCUAAUUGGUAGUAAGGAUGUUAAUUGUUGUUCAUAUUGUUGUGAGGUGAUUGUUGGAGAUUGAUAAAGAAUUUGGAAAUGUUGGAAUCUUGAAGAUUAUUAUGGAAUUGAGCAUUCUUUGGGGAAAAUGAAAGAGAGUUCAUUGUUAGUGAUCUUGCAGGUUCGUGCGUGGAAAACUCGGAAUGGAAUAAAGGAAGAAUUUAGGUAUCAAGGUUAUAGUGAGAUGUAAUGGUUCAGAGUUUGUAUUAGGGUUAUAUAACCUUAUUUGUGAAGAAAUUAUUAUAGUGCUUUAGAAGUCGAGCAAGGUAUAUUGUAAUAUGUUAUUGGUUAUUGAGGAUGUGUUGUGGGCCCUGACCCACAGGUCCAGGAUCGUGUAUUGAAGGUUUUAUUCCGCUGCGAGUAAAUAAUUAAUUCGAGGCUAUUAAGUGUUGAUUGUGUUUUGUGUAUCUUAAUUGUGAUUAGUUAGCAGCUCGGAAGUGCGGGCUGUUACAGGUGGUAUCAGAGCAUGGUCGUUUUAGAGUUGUCGUGAUCUUCAUAUCAUGGCAUACGAGAUAAGAAAGAUAUUUUGGGAUUGUUCGAAAUUGGUUAGGGUUAUUGGUUGGUUAAGAAUUUAGGAAUAGAGAUUGAGAUAUUGAAGGUUCAAUAUUGAGAUUGAAAAUUUGUAAAAAUGAAAAGUUAUGUCGGAGUUUAGCUUUGAGUGGCUAUUUGAGAAUGAUCGAAUUAUAUUGAGAUUUUUGAUUCAAGAUUAGUGAUUAUAUUUUGCAGAAUCAAUUGAUCAUUCGAGGUGUCGGAGUUCAAUAAGAGUUGAUUUGAUUGAUUUUCGUUAAAUAUGUUUUAUGUGAUCUUUCUGUUUGAAAUAAUCUAAAGUUUUACGUUUUCGAAUUUCGAGGACGAAAUUAUUUUAAGUGUGGUAUAGUGUAAUAGCCUAUAUUUUAAGCAGGUUUAAUAACGACUUUAUAAAUGAGAUUUGAUAAGUAUAAUAGCUUAUAUUUUCAGACACGUUUUAGUCAAAGUUAGCUAUGUUCAUAUUAGUAAAGAAAUUACUUUGAGAAUUAUUAUUUAUCGUCUAAAGUAAGUUCCAAGCACAAAUAAGUUAAUAUGGAUUUUAUAUAAUAGAGAUAUUGAGUUGAAGUUUAAGCUUUGAAAUAAAGGAAACCCGUUUUUAAUUACAAUUUAUCUCUCCUCACUCAUGUCAUC